RNAcentral lists this ribosomal RNA (469 nucleotides) under uncultured bacterium. RNAcentral's name for it is "bacterial SSU rRNA". It matches the Rfam family "Bacterial small subunit ribosomal RNA", at positions 28 to 507 of the family's 1533-position model. The record is from RNAcentral.
GAUGAACGCUAGCUACAGGCUUAACACAUGCAAGUCGAGGGGCAGCGCAGUGUAGCAAUACAUGGGCGGCGACCGGCGCACGGGUGCGUAACGCGUAUCCAACCUUCCCGUUACUCAGGGAUAGCCUUCCGAAAGGGAGAUUAAUACCUGAUGGUGUUGAAAUUCCGCAUGUUAUUUCAACUAAAGAUUUAUCGGUAACGGAUGGGGAUGCGUGACAUUAGAUAGUAGGCGGGGUAACGGCCCACCUAGUCUACGAUGUCUAGGGGUUCUGAGAGGAAGGUCCCCCACACUGGAACUGAGACACGGUCCAGACUCCUACGGGAGGCAGCAGUGAGGAAUAUUGGGCAAUGGGGGAAACCCUGACCCAGCAACGCCGCGUGAAGGAAGAAGGCUUUCGGGUUGUAAACUUCUUUUAGCAGGGACGAAGAACGUGACGGUACCUGCAGAAAAAGCAACGGCUAACUACGUG